This 542-nucleotide ribosomal RNA is filed under the name uncultured Glomeromycotina. Its description in RNAcentral is "SSU rRNA". It matches the Rfam family "Eukaryotic small subunit ribosomal RNA", at positions 552 to 1096 of the family's 1831-position model. The record is from RNAcentral. Lineage: Eukaryota; Fungi; Glomeromycota.
AGGGCAAGUCUGGUGCCAGCAGCCGCGGUAAUUCCAGCUCCAAUAGCGUAUAUUAAAGUUGUUGCAGUUAAAAAGCUCGUAGUUGAAUUUCGGGAUCAAUCUAUCGGUCGUGCAAUAGUACGUACUGAUUUUAUUGAUUCCUCCCUUCUGAUGAACUAUGAUGUCAUUAAUUUGGUGUCAUAGGGAAUCAGGACUGUUACUUUGAAAAAAUUAGAGUGUUUAAAGCAGGCUCACGCUUGAAUACAUUAGCAUGGAAUAACGAAAUAGGACGUUUGAUUCUAUUUUGUUGGUUUCUAGGAUCGACGUAAUGAUUAAUAGGGAUAGUUGGGGGCAUUAGUAUUCAAUUGUCAGAGGUGAAAUUCUUGGAUUUAUUGAAGACUAACUACUGCGAAAGCAUUUGCCAAGGAUGUUUUCAUUAGUCAAGAACGAAAGUUAGGGGAUCGAAGACGAUCAGAUACCGUCGUAGUCUUAACCAUAAACUAUGCCGACUAGGGAUCGGAUGAUGUUAAUUUUUUAAUGACUCAUUCGGCGCCUUACGGGAA